This 483-nucleotide ribosomal RNA is filed under the name uncultured bacterium. RNAcentral's name for it is "partial 16S ribosomal RNA". It matches the Rfam family "Bacterial small subunit ribosomal RNA", at positions 28 to 506 of the family's 1533-position model. The record is from RNAcentral.
AUUGAACGCUGGCGGCAUGCUUUACACAUGCAAGUCGAACGGCAGCGCGGGCUUCGGCCUGGCGGCGAGUGGCGAACGGGUGAGUAAUGCAUCGGAACGUGCCCAGUAGUGGGGGAUAGCCCGGCGAAAGCCGGAUUAAUACCGCAUACGACCUGAGGGUGAAAGCGGGGGACCGAAAGGCCUCGCGCUAUUGGAGCGGCCGAGGUCGGAUUAGCUAGUUGGUGGGGUAAAGGCUUACCAAGGCGACGAUCCGUAGCUGGUCUGAGAGGACGACCAGCCACACUGGGACUGAGACACGGCCCAGACUCCGACGGGAGGCAGCAGUGGGGAAUUUUGGACAAUGGGGGCAACCCUGAUCCAGCCAUGCCGCGUGCGGGAAGAAGGCCUUCGGGUUGUAAACCGCUUUUGUUCGGGAAGAAAUCCUCUGGGCUAAUACCCCGGGGGGAUGACGGUACCGGAAGAAUAAGCACCGGCUAACUACGU